UGAAAGGCGAAACGUAAUGUGAAUCGCAACUAACAGUGAAUCAUCGAAUCUUUGAACGCAGGCCGCACCUUGUAAUAUCACUCUGUGUUAUUAUAAGGUAUCUACGUAUGAGUGUCAGCCCAAUAUCAUUUUGGUUCAAGAAGAUGAUUAAAUUUUUUUAUUCAAAUUCUUGAAUACAUAUUCAUAAUAUGUAAAUUUACAUAAUAUUUAAAUAUGUCUGGCCUCAUAUGUGGAAGGUUACCCGCUGGAUUUAA
RNAcentral lists this unclassified non-coding RNA (254 nucleotides) under uncultured fungus. RNAcentral describes it as "sequence contains ITS1". The stretch from base 1 to 117 matches the Rfam family "5.8S ribosomal RNA", at positions 49 to 154 of the family's 154-position model. Lineage: Eukaryota; Fungi. The record is from RNAcentral.